Transfer RNA from Jannaschia sp. CCS1, 74 nucleotides. It matches the Rfam family "tRNA". From Rfam's summary of the family: Transfer RNA (tRNA) molecules are approximately 80 nucleotides in length. Their secondary structure includes four short double-helical elements and three loops (D, anti-codon, and T loops). Further hydrogen bonds mediate the characteristic L-shaped molecular structure. tRNAs have two regions of fundamental functional importance: the anti-codon, which is responsible for specific mRNA codon recognition, and the 3' end, to which the tRNAs corresponding amino acid is attached (by aminoacyl-tRNA synthetases). tRNAs cope with the degeneracy of the genetic code in two manners: having more than one tRNA (with a specific anti-codon) for a particular amino acid; and 'wobble' base-pairing, i.e. permitting non-standard base-pairing at the 3rd anti-codon position. The record is from Rfam. NCBI's taxonomy places the organism in Bacteria, Pseudomonadati, Pseudomonadota, Alphaproteobacteria, Rhodobacterales, Roseobacteraceae.
CGGGCUGUGGCGCAGCCUGGUAGCGCACCUGCUUCGGGAGCAGGGGGUCGGAGGUUCGAAUCCUCUCAGCCCGA